CUCUUUUCUUUAGUUUUGUAGUGUUGGUUCAGCCCUUACUGUGUGCCAAGCACUGUUCUAAGCGCUGGGGGUGGAUAGAAGCUAAUCAGGUUGUAGGGCUCACGGCCUCCAUCCCCAUUUUGCGGAGGAGGUCACUGAGGCACGGUGAAGUGACUUGCCCCAGGUCACGCAGGGGAUAAGUGGCCGAGGUGGGAUUAAUAAUAAUGUUGGUAUUUGUUAAGCGCUUACUAUGUGCAGAGCACUGUUCUAAGCGCUGGGGUAGAUAUAGGGUCAUCAGGUUGUUCCACGUGGGGCUCACAGUCUUCAUCCCCCAUUUUACAGAUGAGGUCACUGAGGCACCGAGAAGAGAUGUGGCUUGCCCACAGUCACACAGCUGACAAGUGGCAGAGCCGGGAUUCGAACCCAUGACCUCUGACUCCCAAACCUCUGAGCCACGCUGCUUGUCAGCCGCCUUUAUUGGGAAGGGGAAGGGAAGCAGAGCCUCCCGUCCCCUGGGAGAGGGUCGUGGAAAGGACAGCAGCGUGGCUCAGUGGAAAGAGCCCGGGUUUGGGACUCAGACGUUGUGGGUUCUAAUCCCGACUCCCCCACUUGUCAGCUGUGUGACUUUGGACAAGUCGCUUGACUUCUCUGGGCCUCAGUGACCUCAUCUGGAAAAUGGGGAUGAAGACUGUGAGCCCUAUGUGGGACAAUCUGAUGACCCUGUAUCUACCCCAGCGCUUAGAAUAGUGCUUGGCACAUAGUAAGUGCUAAACAAAUAGCAACAUCGUUGUUACUGUUAAAGGAGCAGGGUGGGGGGCUGCAGGGGAAAAGGAUGCAUUUUUGUGCGCAGAGCUCACCCAGUCGCCACCUCUCCCGCCUCCGGACCAGUCAGUGGAUGGGCGGUUUGAUUUCCCUUCCAUUUUGGGGGGAUGGGAGGAGAAGGGGGGAGGAAGAGGUCCUCUUUGGGGCCUGGGGGUUUUCCAUUUGUCCAUCAUCUGUGAGCCUGGCUUUUUUUCCCCCACAGCCCCUAGGUCAGCAUGGACGUCCAGCCUCCUCAGCACCAGUGGCGACUCCAGGUGCAGAAGUCCAGCAGCAGCUGCUUCUCAUUUCCAGAGGCUUCUGGAGACCACUGAACCGCCCCCCUGCAAGCAAGCCUUCAGGAAACUACAAGAAACUGGGAAAAUCACUGCUAGAAGAACCCCUGCAACCAUAUAUCAGUAAAAUGCUUACAUUUUUUAAAUGCUUAAGUGUUUGCCAAAAUCUUCAGUUGUUGAGGAUAGUUGGAAAUUGGUUAGCAGCCUCAACCAUGAGCUUUCAUGUCAGCUGUGCCCCAAUUACCUUAAUUUUAAUCAGCAAGAUCAAUUGUAAAAGGAAAAGCAUUUUUAAAAGUUCGAUGCCUAAGUUUAUUUUAAAUGACAAAUCCAUACUACCAUGUGAAAAAUCAGACUUGGAGGAUUCAAAGAACUGCAUUUUAUUUCAAAUAUUCAAAAUCUUAAACAUUAAAAUUUUUUAA
RNAcentral lists this long non-coding RNA (1492 nucleotides) under Ornithorhynchus anatinus (platypus). Its description in RNAcentral is "lncRNA (ENSOANG00000050836.1)". The record is from RNAcentral. Lineage: Eukaryota; Metazoa; Chordata; Mammalia; Monotremata; Ornithorhynchidae.